CCUUCGCCCAGCGGGCCGGCGCGGGGGCGCGAGCUCCAGAAGCUCUCCCCCCAGGAAAGAAGGGCUGGGAUUUUUAAAAAAUCCCCGGGGUGCCCUUACAGGAGCCUUGGCCGGCGAGUCCGGGUGCCCCUUGGACCCACCCGAGGAGGCCGACGUCGCGCCCGGAGAGAAGCUGGGAGCCCCCGGUGCCCGGCGCCCCAGGCGAGGUUGCUGGGAGCCGGGCGCGGCGGGAGGAGCCGCUUAGCGGGCGCCGCAGCCCCGAAGCUGGAGGGGGGCUGACGCCCACUUCCCGAGGGAGAGAGAAACCCAGUUGCAAGGCCAUUAAUCACAUUAUCCGUUACGCCAGAAACAAAUGGUUUUGUCACUCGCGCACAGAAGCGGAGGUUGAUGCUGUGUCAAACUGUAUCGAAAUAGAUGAAGUUGUGAUGA
Long non-coding RNA from Pipistrellus kuhlii (Kuhl's pipistrelle), 429 nucleotides. RefSeq lists it as uncharacterized. The record is from RefSeq and is a predicted model, not a curated record. NCBI's taxonomy places the organism in Eukaryota, Metazoa, Chordata, Mammalia, Chiroptera, Vespertilionidae. The transcript is spliced from 2 exons.